Molecule: long non-coding RNA, 606 nt
Filed under: Vulpes vulpes (red fox)
Lineage: Eukaryota; Metazoa; Chordata; Mammalia; Carnivora; Canidae
Description: lncRNA (ENSVVUG00000015593.1)
Source: RNAcentral
AUGACCUUGAUUUCUGCCUUGCUUAGCAACAAGUUUCAUUUGCUAAGGUUCAGGUGUUUGAGCAGUAGAAAGUACAGGGAAAGAAGAAUAAAGAGGAUUGGAAAACAAAAGGCUGGAACUUUGUUUGUCAUUCAACACCAGGGACCCCAUCCUGCCUGCCCUUCUGGGAUGUUUCAGGAGAGAAGAUGUUCCUGGACUCCAGCUGCAGGUCUCUGCCCACCUCUAAGAGGCACAGGCAGGGACUGGUAGAGGAAUGGGUGGUACUUGGAGUCGCCGACCAUAGCCUUGAACCCUUCUUCAGUGGUGAUGAGGAACACUUCCAAGGGCUGCCCGUGCUAGAAGGAAAUGCCUAAGCCACACUUCUCUAAGCCCCAGGUGCCCUGCUCCAGGGUAUUGAACAACCACCAUGAAUUGGUCCAGGUGGCGACUGAAAUGCACGGCAGCCUCAACAUUCUGCUCCUCACCGCAGAAUAGGUUCACAUGGAACCCACCAAGCUUUGUUCAGGACAAUAUGACAAACUCUCAUCACAAUGCCCACUAGGAUGCCCUUGGGCAGCGAGGUCUUGUGGGGCACAUUAGAGCUCCCUGCUUUGGCUGGACAGUAAG